This is a non-coding RNA of Chelonoidis abingdonii (Abingdon island giant tortoise), 241 nucleotides long. The record is from RefSeq and is a predicted model, not a curated record. Lineage: Eukaryota; Metazoa; Chordata; Testudines; Testudinidae.
CUAGGGAGCAUUACAAAAAGAGGAAUAGCACAAAGCAUGUACGGACAAAAUCAGAAAGGCUAAGGUACAAAAUGAGUUACACUUAGCAAGGGAUAUAAAAACCAGAACGAAGAGGUUCUAUGAAUACAACAGGAACAAGAAACAAAGCGUUGGUUCACCAUUCAGUGGGGAAGAGUUAAUAAUGGAUGGCAUCAAGAAGAUGGAAAUAUUUAAUGCUUAUUUUACUUAAGUUUUUACUAAA